This 400-nucleotide long non-coding RNA is filed under the name Rattus norvegicus (Norway rat). RNAcentral's name for it is "long non-coding RNA NONRATT009640". Lineage: Eukaryota; Metazoa; Chordata; Mammalia; Rodentia; Muridae. The record is from RNAcentral.
CCAGCACACAGCCAAGGGCGGUAGCCUCUCCUCACGUUGUCACCUGGUACUUUUCUGAGACUGACAUCUGAGGACAAAGCUCUGGGCAAUGGAGACCGUGCAGGUGGAUGAGCAACCCAGAAAGGUGAAGAAGGAAGAAGAGAACUGUGUGGGUGCAGACAGUGUUACUGCCUGCUCCUGGACCGCUUCUCCACGCCUCGUAGUGAGUGUAAAGAUCUGCCUUCAGUUUAUGAAAAUCCAGAAUGAGAAUGACAUAUCUACAGUGGAGAUAUCGUUUACUUUUCUAUUAGUGGCCUCUUCAAAAGAUGCCUUUCAUCAAUCUUUAUACCCUGUUUAUCUAGUGAGGGAACUAGGCUCAUGAUCAUGAUGGGGAGCUGGUAACUCUAGUUAGGAGCACUGG